RNAcentral lists this ribosomal RNA (1281 nucleotides) under Listeria monocytogenes. Its description in RNAcentral is "bacterial SSU rRNA". It matches the Rfam family "Bacterial small subunit ribosomal RNA", at positions 64 to 1329 of the family's 1533-position model. The record is from RNAcentral. Lineage: Bacteria; Bacillati; Bacillota; Bacilli; Caryophanales; Listeriaceae.
GAACGGAGGUAAGUAAGCUUGCUCUUCCAAAGUUAGUGGCGGACGGGUGAGUAACACGUGGGCAACCUGCCUGUAAGUUGGGGAUAACUCCGGGAAACCGGGGCUAAUACCGAAUGAUAAAGUGUGGCGCAUGCCACGCUUUUGAAAGAUGGUUUCGGCUAUCGCUUACAGAUGGGCCCGCGGUGCAUUAGCUAGUUGGUAGGGUAAUGGCCUACCAAGGCAACGAUGCAUAGCCGACCUGAGAGGGUGAUCGGCCACACUGGGACUGAGACACGGCCCAGACUCCUACGGGAGGCAGCAGUAGGGAAUCUUCCGCAAUGGACGAAAGUCUGACGGAGCAACGCCGCGUGUAUGAAGAAGGUUUUCGGAUCGUAAAGUACUGUUGUUAGAGAAGAACAAGGAUAAGAGUAACUGCUUGUCCCUUGACGGUAUCUAACCAGAAAGCCACGGCUAACUACGUGCCAGCAGCCGCGGUAAUACGUAGGUGGCAAGCGUUGUCCGGAUUUAUUGGGCGUAAAGCGCGCGCAGGCGGUCUUUUAAGUCUGAUGUGAAAGCCCCCGGCUUAACCGGGGAGGGUCAUUGGAAACUGGAAGACUGGAGUGCAGAAGAGGAGAGUGGAAUUCCACGUGUAGCGGUGAAAUGCGUAGAUAUGUGGAGGAACACCAGUGGCGAAGGCGACUCUCUGGUCUGUAACUGACGCUGAGGCGCGAAAGCGUCGGGAGCAAACAGGAUUAGAUACCCUGGUAGUCCACGCCGUAAACGAUGAGUGCUAAGUGUUAGGGGGUUUCCGCCCCUUAGUGCUGCAGCUAACGCAUUAAGCACUCCGCCUGGGGAGUACGACCGCAAGGUUGAAACUCAAAGGAAUUGACGGGGGCCCGCACAAGCGGUGGAGCAUGUGGUUUAAUUCGAAGCAACGCGAAGAACCUUACCAGGUCUUGACAUCCUUUGACCACUCUGGAGACAGAGCUUUCCCUUCGGGGACAAAGUGACAGGUGGUGCAUGGUUGUCGUCAGCUCGUGUCGUGAGAUGUUGGGUUAAGUCCCGCAACGAGCGCAACCCUUGAUUUUAGUUGCCAGCAUUUAGUUGGGCACUCUAAAGUGACUGCCGGUGCAAGCCGGAGGAAGGUGGGGAUGACGUCAAAUCAUCAUGCCCCUUAUGACCUGGGCUACACACGUGCUACAAUGGAUAGUACAAAGGGUCGCGAAGCCGCGAGGUGGAGCUAAUCCCAUAAAACUAUUCUCAGUUCGGAUUGUAGGCUGCAACUCGCUUACAGGAAGCCGG